This 948-nucleotide unclassified non-coding RNA is filed under the name Hevea brasiliensis (rubber tree). Lineage: Eukaryota; Viridiplantae; Streptophyta; Magnoliopsida; Malpighiales; Euphorbiaceae. The record is from RNAcentral.
GCAGAGGGCUUAUGACCAGGUAGUGCAUGACGUUGAUUUGCAAAAGCUGCCCGUGAGGUUUGCAAUGGACAGAGCAGGUCUUGUUGGAGCAGAUGGUCCAACACAUUGUGGUGCAUUUGAUGUUACUUACAUGGCAUGUCUUCCUAACAUGGUUGUAAUGGCUCCUUCUGAUGAAGCGGAGCUAUUUCACAUGGUAGCAACUGCUGCCGCCAUUGAUGACAGACCAAGUUGUUUUAGAUACCCAAGAGGAAAUGGGAUCGGUGUAGAGCUUCCGGCUGGAAACAAAGGAAUUCCUCUUGAGGUUGGUAAAGGUAGGAUAUUGAUUGAGGGGGAGAGAGUGGCUCUAUUGGGAUAUGGCUCAGCAGUGCAGAACUGUUUGGAUGCUGCUAUUGUGCUAGAAUCCCGCGGCUUACAAGUAACAGUUGCAGAUGCACGUUUCUGCAAACCACUGGACCAUGCCCUCAUAAGGAGCCUUGCAAAAUCACAUGAGGUGCUAAUCACUGUCGAAGAAGGAUCAAUUGGAGGUUUUGGAUCUCAUGUUGUUCAGUUCAUGGCCUUAGAUGGGCUUCUUGAUGGCAAGUUGAAGUGGAGACCAAUAGUUCUUCCUGAUCGAUACAUUGACCAUGGAUCUCCUGUUGAUCAGUUGGCGGAAGCUGGCCUAACACCAUCUCACAUUGCAGCAACAGUAUUUAACAUACUUGGACAAACCAGAGAGGCUCUAGAGGUCAUGACAUAAGAUGGAAGAAGCGUAGAAAGAUAUAUAGUAUAUUGUAAAAUAUAGUUUUAGGUCAUGACAUAAGCAGAUUAACAUAUACUUUAUCCUCCAAAAUAUGUUUAAAGUUUCCAUGGCUGAGUUCAAGCCCUCCUCUUAGUCUCCACCAUGACUUAUGAUUAACUCAUAUGGUUUCUGAUUGUGUAACCGGUUCUUGAUUUUUCGAGUUAUGAAGA